This 253-nucleotide ribosomal RNA is filed under the name uncultured bacterium. RNAcentral describes it as "partial 16S ribosomal RNA". It matches the Rfam family "Bacterial small subunit ribosomal RNA", at positions 524 to 776 of the family's 1533-position model. The record is from RNAcentral.
UACGUAGGGGGCUAGCGUUGUCCGGAUUUAUUGGGCGUAAAGAGCGUGUAGGCGGCCAGGUAGGUCUGUUGUGAAAGCCCCGGGCUCAACCUGGGAAUGGCAAUGGAUACUGGCGAGCUAGAGUGUGUCAGAGGAUGGUGGAAUUCCCGGUGUAGCGGUGAAAUGCGUAGAGAUCGGGAGGAACAUCAGUGGCGAAGGCGGCCAUCUGGGACAACACUGACGCUGAGGCACGAAAGCGUGGGGAGCAAACAGG